UACGUAGGGGGCGAGCGUUAUCCGGAUUCACUGGGCGUAAAGGGAGCGCAGGCGGCAUGGUAAGUCUGAUGUGAAAACCCGAGGCCCAACCCCGGGAGUGCAUUGGAAACUGCCAGGCUGGAGUGUCGGAGGGGUAAGCGGAAUUCCUAGUGUAGCGGUGAAAUGCGUAGAUAUUAGGAGGAACACCAGUGGCGAAGGCGGCUUACUGGACGACUACUGACGCUGAGGCUCGAAAGCGUGGGGAGCAAACAGG
RNAcentral lists this ribosomal RNA (253 nucleotides) under uncultured bacterium. RNAcentral describes it as "partial 16S ribosomal RNA". It matches the Rfam family "Bacterial small subunit ribosomal RNA", at positions 524 to 776 of the family's 1533-position model. The record is from RNAcentral.